GAUUAACGCUGGCGGCAGGCCUAGCACAUGCAAGUCGAACGGGAUCUUCGGAUCUAGUGGCGGACGGGUGAGUAACGCGUGGGAACGUACCCUUUGGUUCGGAAUAGCCCUGGGAAACUGGGAGUAAUACCGGAUACGGUCGAGAGACGAAAGAUUUAUCGCCGAAGGAUCGGCCCGCGUUGGAUUAGGUAGUUGGUGGGGUAAUGGCCUACCAAGCCGACGAUCCAUAGCUGGUUUGAGAGGAUGAUCAGCCACACUGGGACUGAGACACGGCCCAGACUCCUACGGGAGGCAGCAGUGGGGAAUCUUAGACAAUGGGGGAAACCCUGAUCUAGCCAUGCCGCGUGAGCGAUGAAGGCCUUAGGGUUGUAAAGCUCUUUCAGUGGGGAAGAUAAUGACGGUACCCACAGAAGAAGCCCCGGCUAACUCCGUGCCAGCCGCCGCGGUAA
Molecule: ribosomal RNA, 449 nt
Filed under: uncultured bacterium
Lineage: Bacteria
Description: partial 16S ribosomal RNA
Rfam family: Bacterial small subunit ribosomal RNA
Source: RNAcentral